AGAGUUUGAUCAUGGCUCAGAGUGAACGCUGGCGGUAGGCCUAACACAUGCAAGUCGAACGGCAGCACAGGAGAGCUUGCUCUCUGGGUGGCGAGUGGCGGACGGGUGAGGAAUACAUCGGAAUCUACCUUUUCGUGGGGGAUAACGUAGGGAAACUUACGCUAAUACCGCAUACGACCUACGGGUGAAAGUGGGGGACCGCAAGGCCUCACGCGAUUAGAUGAGCCGAUGUCCGAUUAGCUAGUUGGCGGGGUAAUGGCCCACCAAGGCGACGAUCGGUAGCUGGUCUGAGAGGAUGAUCAGCCACACUGGAACUGAGACACGGUCCAGACUCCUACGGGAGGCAGCAGUGGGGAAUAUUGGACAAUGGGCGCAAGCCUGAUCCAGCCAUACCGCGUGGGUGAAGAAGGCCUUCGGGUUGUAAAGCCCUUUUGUUGGGAAAGAAAUCCUAUCGGUUAAUAACCGGUGGGGAUGACGGUACCCAAAGAAUAAGCACCGGCUAACUUCGUGCCAGCAGCCGCGGUAAUACGAAGGGUGCAAGCGUUACUCGGAAUUACUGGGCGUAAAGCGUGCGUAGGUGGUGGUUUAAGUCUGCUGUG
RNAcentral lists this ribosomal RNA (599 nucleotides) under uncultured bacterium. RNAcentral's name for it is "bacterial SSU rRNA". It matches the Rfam family "Bacterial small subunit ribosomal RNA", at positions 8 to 596 of the family's 1533-position model. The record is from RNAcentral.